AUUGAGCGCUGGCGGCAUGCUUUACACAUGCAAGUCGAACGGCAGCGCGGGCUUCGGCCUGGCGGCGCGUGGCGCACGGGUGAGUAAUGCAUCGGAACGUGCCCAGUAGUGGGGGAUAGCCCGGCGAAAGCCGGAUUAAUACCGCAUACGCCCUGAGGGUGAAAGCGGGGGACCGCAAGGCCUCGCGCUAUUGGAGCGGCCGAUGGCGGAUUAGCUAGUUGGUGGGGUAAAGGCUUACCAAGGCGACGAUCCGUAGCUGGUCUGAGAGGACGACCAGCCACACUGGGACUGAGACACGGCCCAGACUCCUACGGGAGGCAGCAGUGGGGAAUUUUGGACAAUGGGGGCAACCCUGAUCCAGCCAUGCCGCGUGCGGGAAGAAGGCCUUCGGGUUGUAAACCGCUUUUGUUCGGGAAGAAAUCCUCUGGGCUAAUACCCCGGGGGGAUGACGGUACCGGAAGAAUAAGCACCGGCUAACUACGUG
This 484-nucleotide ribosomal RNA is filed under the name uncultured bacterium. Its description in RNAcentral is "partial 16S ribosomal RNA". It matches the Rfam family "Bacterial small subunit ribosomal RNA", at positions 28 to 507 of the family's 1533-position model. The record is from RNAcentral.